Molecule: long non-coding RNA, 746 nt
Organism: Falco peregrinus (peregrine falcon)
Lineage: Eukaryota; Metazoa; Chordata; Aves; Falconiformes; Falconidae
Exons: 3
Source: RefSeq, a predicted model, not a curated record
UGUAAGAAACUAUGGACUAGGGUAUUGUUUAUUAAGAUUUAUGUUAAGCCCAAUGUAAAGAUUAGGCAACAAAAGAUAAGAUAACCGCCAGAUGUCCAGGAACCGACAGAAACAGGACAGACAACCCCAUAUAAGGACAUAUGAGUGAAGGGUCAACACCUCCACUACUUCAUGAACACGAAAGUAAAAAAAAGUAUAAAAAGGGACUGUUUGAACUGCUCAGUACGGCAGUUGGCGAAGCGCAGACUCCCCUGCCGUCCAGCGCUGUCUUUGCUCAUAUUCUACUUGCUGUAAUUAAUAAAAAUUUUAAUUGGAUUAUGAUCUAUUGUGGUCUCAAUUUAUAACAAUUCUGGUGCCGUGACUCGGAUAAGGAACGGUGGGCUUUGGUCCUCCGGGGAGGCGCCCCGCGACAUUUCGCGGCCCCGCGACCAACAGCUUACUCCAACCUUACCGACGAACCUAAAUUCUAGAACAAUGAGCAAAGGAGAAACCGGUAAAAUCCCAUAAAAUUCUGUGCACGGGAGUCCGGACGAAGACGCAGGACGCUUAAAGCUGCAAAGUGGGAAGCCUAUGUAAACAGGCAGAAAGCCCAAAGCAGCUGUUCUCCUGAAGAAUUCCCUUGCUGCCGAGAAGAUGGUACACCUCGUGGCUCGAAGCAACCGAGUCGACGGGCAAGGCAGAGGAGGAACAUACUGCGGAGAAAAGAACCAGAACAAUGGGAUGCAAAAGCAGCAAUGGCCGAACUU